CCUACGGGAGGCAGCAGUGAGGAAUAUUGGUCAAUGGGCGGAAGCCUGAACCAGCCAAGUAGCGUGCAGGAUGACGGCCCUACGGGUUGUAGACUGCUUUUAUACGGGACUAACGCGCCUUACGUGUAGGGCUUUGCAUGUACCGUAUGAGUAAGGACCGGCUAAUUCCGUGCCAGCAGCCGCGGUAAUACGGAAGGUCAGGGCGUUAUCCGGAUUUCUUGGGUUUAAAGGGAGCGUAGGCCGCAUGUCAAGCGUGCUGUGAAGUGUCCGGGCUCAACCCGGGCCUUGCAGCGCGAACUGGCGUGCUUGAGUCCGCGGAAAGCAGGCGGAAUUCGUCGUGUAGUGGUGAAAUGCUUAGAUAUGACGAAGAACCCCGAUUGCGAAGGCAGCUUGCUGCAGCGGAACUGACGCUGAUGCUCGAAAGCGCGGGUAUCGAACAGGAUUAGAUACCCGAGUAGUC
RNAcentral lists this ribosomal RNA (460 nucleotides) under uncultured bacterium. RNAcentral describes it as "partial 16S ribosomal RNA". It matches the Rfam family "Bacterial small subunit ribosomal RNA", at positions 338 to 795 of the family's 1533-position model. The record is from RNAcentral.